RNAcentral lists this long non-coding RNA (2142 nucleotides) under Oncorhynchus mykiss (rainbow trout). RNAcentral's name for it is "lncRNA (ENSOMYG00000074107.1)". Lineage: Eukaryota; Metazoa; Chordata; Actinopteri; Salmoniformes; Salmonidae. The record is from RNAcentral.
AUGUGGCACAUCAGAUCUCGUUUUCCAGAGUGUUUUGGGAAGUUGCGGUCUGUCUUCCUAAUGUACGAUCGUGCCGAGCAGAGGGGCUGCAGUCUGAUUCCGCCAUUGCGGCUGCUGCGGUUGCUAGCGAGCAAGCAACCCUUCUCCCAGGGGCUCAGCAGCCUCGCUCUUAUUUGUCUUGCAGUGCUGGCAUUCCUGGCUCUGUGCCAAGUGACUAUCGACAGUCGCAAGCCCCCUUCCCCCCACCGAGCGCACACCCACCACCUCUCCCCUUCCUUGUAUGUGUUCUCACAUACACCCACCACCUCCCCCUUCCUUGUAUGUGUUCUCACACCCACCACCUCCCCCCUUCCUUGUAUGUGUUCUCACACCCACCACCUCCCCCUUCCUUGUAUGUGUUCUCACACCCACCACCUCUCCCCUUCCUUGUAUGUGUUCUCACACCCACCACCUCCCCCUUCCUUGUAUGUGUUCUCACAUACACCCACCACCUCCCCCUUCAUUGUAUGUGUUCUCACAUACACCCACCACCUCCCCCCUUCCUUGUAUGUGUUCUCACAUACACCCACCACCUUCCCCCUUCCUUGUAUGUGUUCUCACAUACACCCACCACCUCCCCCUUCCUUGUAUGUGUUCUCACAUACACCCACCACCUCCCCCUUCCUUGUAUGUGUUCUCGCACCCACCACCUCCCCCUUCCUUGUAUGUGUUCUCACAUACACCCACCACCUCCCCCUUCCUUGUAUGUGUUCUCACACCCACCACCUCCCCCCUUCCUUGUAUGUGUUCUCACAUACACCCACCACCUCCCCCCUUCCUUGUAUGUGUUCUCACACCCACCACCUCCCCCUUCCUUGUAUGUGUUCUCACACCCACCACCUCCCCCCUUCCUUGUAUGUGUUCUCACACCCACCACCUCCCCCCUUCCUUGUAUGUGUUCUCACACCCACCACCUCCCCCCUUCCUUGUAUGUGUUCUCACACCCACCACCUCCCCCUUCCUUGUAUGUGUUCUCACAUACACCCACCACCUCCCCCUUCCUUGUAUGUGUUCUCACAUACACCCACCACCUCCCCCUUCCUUGUAUGUGUUCUCACACCCACCACCUCCCCCCUUCCUUGUAUGUGUUCUCACAUCCACCACCUCCCCCCUUCCUUGUAUGUGUUCUCACACACACCCACCACCUCCCCCUUCCUUGUAUGUGUUCUCACACCCACCACCUCCCCCUUCCUUGUAUGUGUUCUCACAUACACCCACCACCUCCCCCUUCCUUGUAUGUGUUCUCACAUACACCCACCACCUCCCCCUUCCUUGUAUGUGUUCUCACAUACACCCACCACCUCCCCCCUUCCUUGUAUGUGUUCUCACAUACACCCACCACCUCCCCCCUUCCUUGUAUGUGUUCUCACACCCACCACCUCCCCCUUCCUUGUAUGUGUUCUCACACCCACCACCUCCCCCUUCCUUGUAUGUGUUCUCACACCCACCACCUCCCCCUUCCUUGUAUGUGUUCUCACACCCACCACCUCCCCCCUUCCUUGUAUGUGUUCUCACAUACACCCACCACCUCCCCCUUCCUUGUAUGUGUUCUCACACCCACCACCUCCCCCUUCCUUGUAUGUGUUCUCACACACCCACCACCUCCCCCCUUCCUUGUAUGUGUUCUCACAUACACCCACCACCUCCCCCUUCCUUGUAUGUGUUCUCACACCCACCACCUCCCCCUUCCUUGUAUGUGUUCUCACACACCCACCACCUCCCCCUUCCUUGUAUGUGUUCUCACAUACACCCACCACCUCCCCCUUCCUUGUAUGUGUUCUCACAUACACCCACCACCUCCCCCUUCCUUGUAUGUGUUCUCACAUACACCCACCACCUCCCCCCUUCCUUGUAUGUGUUCUCACACCCACCACCUCCCCCCUUCCUUGUAUUUGUUCUCACACCCACCACCUCCCCCCUUCCUUGUAUGUGUUCUCACAUACACCAGAGUGUGGAUAUCAAAAGCAACCUGCACCCCCACCUCCCCCCCUUCCCACCUUCCCACCCCAUCAUACCAUUACCCUCUUUAUUGUACGGUCCUUCCUCUACCCUCUCUCUGAUUGCCUUUUGUCCGCCUUUGUUCCCAGAAGCAGUCUGGUUUAA